RNAcentral lists this ribosomal RNA (393 nucleotides) under uncultured bacterium. RNAcentral describes it as "partial 16S ribosomal RNA". It matches the Rfam family "Bacterial small subunit ribosomal RNA", at positions 523 to 918 of the family's 1533-position model. The record is from RNAcentral.
AUACGGAGGAUCCGAGCGUUAUCCGGAUUUAUUGGGUUUAAAGGGUGCGCAGGCGGGAGAUUAAGUCGGCGGUGAAAUUUUGCAGCUCAACUGUAAAAGUGCCUUCGGAACUGGGUUCCUUGAGUGUUGAUGAAGUAGGCGGAAUUUGUGGUGUAGCGGGGAAAUGCAUAGAUAUCACGAGGAACUCCGAUUGCGCAGGCAGCUUACUAAACUACUACUGACGCUCAGGCACGAAGGCGUGGGGAUCAAACAGGAUUAGAAACCCUGGUAGUCCACGCAGUAAACGAUGAUUACUAGCUGUUUGCGAUACAAUGUAAGCGGCUGAGCGAAAGCGUUAAGUAAUCCACCUGGGGAGUACGUUCGCAAGAAUGAAACUCAAAGGAAUUGACGGGG